Molecule: ribosomal RNA, 165 nt
Filed under: uncultured bacterium
Lineage: Bacteria
Description: partial 16S rRNA
Rfam family: Bacterial small subunit ribosomal RNA
Source: RNAcentral
UAGGGAAUCUUCGGCGAUGGGGGCAACCCUGACCGAGCAACGCCGCGUGAGUGAAGAAGGUUUUCGGAUCGUAGAGCUCUGUUGUAAGAGAAGAACGUGUGUGAGAGUGGAAAGUUCACACAGUGACGGUAACUUACCAGAAAGGGACGGCUAACUACGUGCCAC